GACGAACGCUGGCGGCGCGCUUAACACAUGCAAGUCGAAUGGAAAGGCCUGCUUUCCCUUGUGGUUUUCGGGUACUCGAGUGGCGAACGGGUGAGUAACACGUCAGUGAUCUGCCCCCAACUUAGGUAUAAGCCUGGUAAACUGGGUCUAAUUCCCGAUAGGACUGCAGGGUGGUGCAUGUGAUGGAAAACGAUCUUCUAGUGGUUGGGGAUGAGCUGGCGGCCUAUCAGGUUGUUGGUGGGGUAGUGGCCUACCAAGGCGGCGACGGGUAGUCGGCGUGAGAGGGUGGACGGUGACAUUGAGACUCGGUCACGGCCCAGACGCGUAGCGGAAGCAGGAGUGCGGAAGAUUGCACAAUAGGCGUAAGCCUGAUGCAGCGAGGCAGUGUUGAAGGUGACGGGAUUGGGGUUGUAAGCUCCUUUCGAAGGCGAGGAAGCUAACUGGUUGGACGGGUGGUGACGGUAGUGGUAGAAGAAGCACCGGCUAACUACGUG
Molecule: ribosomal RNA, 494 nt
Filed under: uncultured bacterium
Lineage: Bacteria
Description: partial 16S ribosomal RNA
Rfam family: Bacterial small subunit ribosomal RNA
Source: RNAcentral